UACGUAGGGUGCGAGCGUUGUCCGGAAUUAUUGGGCGUAAAGCGCGCGUAGGCGGCUUUGCAAGUCGGGUGUGAAAUCCCCAGGCUUAACCUGGGAACUGCAUUCGAGACUGCAUUGCUAGAGUAUGGGAGAGGGAAGUGGAAUUUCCGGUGUAGCGGUGAAAUGCGUAGAUAUCGGAAGGAACAUCAGUGGCGAAAGCGACUUCCUGGACCAAUACUGACGCUCAUGUGUGAAAGCGUGGGGAGCAAACAGG
This 253-nucleotide ribosomal RNA is filed under the name uncultured bacterium. RNAcentral's name for it is "partial 16S ribosomal RNA". It matches the Rfam family "Bacterial small subunit ribosomal RNA", at positions 524 to 776 of the family's 1533-position model. The record is from RNAcentral.